GUAGGUGCUGGUUCGCCUGCUGAGGUCCACCACGACUAUAAAGAAAGGUGCAGUCUACAACUGUAGGCAACAUCUCUACUGUGCUAGAAGUUACAGGUCUUGUAUUACUAGCAGCAUGUUUAUUUGUGUCCACAGAUCAAAUAGAGGUGGCCCAUGAGGGUUGAGACAUGAUCGACUUGAAGCUAGAAAUAGCAUCUUUAGAAAACAUGCUUAUAUAGAAGCAUAGCCUUUCAUUAAGCAAGUUUUCUUUUAAGUGGAACCUGCGGAAGGAUCAUUAUAGAGAAUGUGCCCUUUGGGUAGAUCUCCCACCCUUUGUUUACAUAUACUUUGUUGCUUUGGCAGGCCUGCUUUACUGCUACUGGCUUCGGCUAGUUAGUGCUUGCCAAAGGAUCCCAAAUUCUUAAUUGAUAAUGUCAGAGUAUUAAAAUAAUAAUUAAAACUUUCAACAACGGAUCUCUUGGUUCUG
This 466-nucleotide unclassified non-coding RNA is filed under the name rhizosphere metagenome. RNAcentral describes it as "partial ribosomal RNA internal transcribed spacer region". The record is from RNAcentral.